RNAcentral lists this ribosomal RNA (506 nucleotides) under Apriona germarii. RNAcentral describes it as "Apriona germari partial 16S ribosomal RNA". It matches the Rfam family "Bacterial large subunit ribosomal RNA", at positions 1825 to 2596 of the family's 2925-position model. The record is from RNAcentral. Lineage: Eukaryota; Metazoa; Arthropoda; Insecta; Coleoptera; Cerambycidae.
GGCUUUUUGUAUAUAAUUUAAAGUCUGGCCUGCCCACUGAAGUUUUAAAGGGCCGCGGUAACUUGACCGUGCUAAGGUAGCAUAAUCAUUAGUUUUUUAAUUGAAAGCUGGUAUGAAUGGUUUGAUGAAAAAAUAACUGUCUCUAAUUUAUUUUAAUUGAAUUUUAUAUUUAAGUAAAAAAGCUUAAAUUUUUUUAAAAGACGAGAAGACCCUAUAGAGUUUUAUAAAUUUAAAUUUUAGCACUUUUAGGAUUUUUACUUUUAAAAUUUAAAUUUAUUUGAUUGGGGUGAUUGAAAAAUUUAAUAAACUUUUUUUUUAUUAGAAUAUUAAUUAGUAAAUUUUUGAUCCAUUAAUAAUGAUUAUAAGAUUAAAUUACCUUAGGGAUAACAGCGUAAUUUUUUUUGAGAGUUCAAAUCGAAAGAAAAGAUUGCGACCUCGAUGUUGGAUUAAAAUUAAUUUUUGGUGUAGAGGCUAAGAAUUUUAGGUCUGUUCGACCUUUAAAAUUU